GCCUGCCCAGUGACCAUGUGUUCAACGGCCGCGGUAUUCUGACCGCGCGAAGGUAGCGUAAUCACUUGUUUUUUAAAUAAAGACUAGUAUGAAUGGCCCCACGAGGACUUAACUGUCUCCCUUGUCCAAUCAGUGAAACUGAUCUCCUCGUGCAGAAGCGAGGAUUCUCUCAUAAGACGAGAAGACCCUAUGGAGCUUUAAACUAAAAAUCAACUAUUAUACAUCUAUCCUCCAAGGACCAAAUAAAUAACUAAAUAUGCUUGAUUUAAGUUUUAGGUUGGGGCGACCAUGGAGAAAAAGAAAUCCUCCCUGAUGACCACAAACUAAGAGCCACUACUCUAAGUAUUAAGACACUUAACUCUAAUUGACCCAUUUUAUGAUCAACGAACCAAGUUACCCUAGGGAUAACAGCGCAAUCCACUUCAAGAGUCCCUAUCGACAAGUGGGUUUACGACCUCGAUGUUGGAUCAGGGCAUCCAAGUGGUGCAACCGCUACUAAUGGUUCGUUUGUUCAACGAUUAAAGCCCU
This 528-nucleotide ribosomal RNA is filed under the name Megophrys feae (Kakhien Hills spadefoot toad). Its description in RNAcentral is "partial 16S ribosomal RNA". It matches the Rfam family "Bacterial large subunit ribosomal RNA", at positions 1857 to 2597 of the family's 2925-position model. Lineage: Eukaryota; Metazoa; Chordata; Amphibia; Anura; Megophryidae. The record is from RNAcentral.